CCUACGGGAGGCAGCAGUGAGGAAUAUUGGUCAAUGGACGAGAGUCUGAACCAGCCAAGUCGCGUGAAGGAUGACUGCCCUAUGGGUUGUAAACUUCUUUUAUAAAGGAAUAAAACGAGGCACGUGUGCCUGUUUGCAUGUACUUUAUGAAUAAGGAUCGGCUAACUCCGUGCCAGCAGCCGCGGUAAUACGGAGGAUCCGAGCGUUAUCCGGAUUUAUUGGGUUUAAAGGGGGCGUAGAUGGGUUGUUAAGUCAGUUGUGAAAGUUUGCGGCUUAACCGUAAAAUUGCAAUUGAUACUGGCAGUCUUGAGUACAGUUGAGGUAGGCGGAAUUCGUGGUGUAGCGGUGAAAUGCGUAGAUAUCACGAAGAACCCCGAUUGCGAAGGCAGCUUACUAAACUGUGACUGACAUUGAUGCUCGAAAGUGUGGGUAUCAAACAGGAUUAGAUACCCUUGUAGUC
This 460-nucleotide ribosomal RNA is filed under the name uncultured bacterium. RNAcentral describes it as "partial 16S ribosomal RNA". It matches the Rfam family "Bacterial small subunit ribosomal RNA", at positions 338 to 795 of the family's 1533-position model. The record is from RNAcentral.